GAAUUCGCCCUUAGAGUUUGAUUCUGGCUCAGGACGAAAGCUGGCGGCAUGCCUAACACAUGCAAGUCGAACGGAAAGUAGCAAUAUUUUCAGUGGCGAACGGGUGAGUAACACUUGAGCAACCUACCUUGUACUUUGGAAUAACUCCUAGAAAUGGGUGCUAAUACCGAAUAAGACCACGAAGAGGCAUCUCUUCGGGGUCAAAGCUCCGGCGGUACAAGAUGGGCUCGAGUCCAAUUAGCUAGAUGGUGAGAUAACAGCCCACCAUGGCAACGAUUGGUAGCCGGCCUGAGAGGGUGAUCGGCCACACUGGAACUGAGACACGGUCCAGACUCCUACGGGAGGCAGCAGUGGGGAAUAUUGGGCAAUGGGCGAAAGCCUUACCCAGCAAUGCCGCGUGUAUGAAGAAGGUCUUCGGAUUAUAAAGUACUAUAUUGGGGAAGAACACAAUGACGGUACCCAAGAGAAAAAGCCCCGGCUAACUAUGUGCCAGCAGCCGCGGUAAUACAUAGGGGGCUAGCUUUGUUCGGAAUUACUGGGCGUAAAGGGUGCGUAGGUGGCAAUGUAUGUUGGAAGUGUAAUCCCUCGGGCUUAACUCAGGGGCUGCUUCCAAAACUGCAUUACUUGAGUGUCGGAGAGGAAAACGGAAUUCCUAGUGUAGCGGUGAAAUGCUCAGAUAUUAGGAGGAACACCAGAGGCGAAGGCGGUUUUCUGGACGACAACUGACGCUGAGGCACGAAAGCGUGGGGAGCGAUAAAGGUUAGAUACCCCAGUAGUCCACGCCGUAAAUGAUGAGUAAAGGGUGUUGGAGGGUUUCCACCCCUCAGUGCUGGAGGUAACGCAAAAAGCACUCCGCCUGGGGAGGACGGCCGCAAGGCUGAAACUCAAAGGAAAUGACGGGGACCCGCACAAGCGGUGGAGCAUGUGGUUUAAUUUGAAGCAACGCGAAGAACCUUACCAGGUCUUGACAUACGAUGCAUAGCCUAGAGAUAGGUGAAACCCUUCGGGGCAUCGAUACAGGUGGUGCAUGGUUGUCGUCAGCUCGUGUCGUGAGAUGUUUGGUUAAGUCCAGCAACGAGCGCAACCCUUAUUACUAGUUGCCAGCACUCAGUUGGGGACUCUAGUGAGACUGCCGGUGACAAACCGGAGGAAGGUGGGGAGGACGUCAAAUCAUCAUGCCCCCUAUGACCUGGGCUACACACGUGCUACAAUGGAUGGUACAACGAGGAGGGAACUCGCAAGGGCAAGCAAAUCUCUUAAAGCCAUUCUCAGUUCGGAUUGUUCUCUGCAACUCGAGAGCAUGAAGCCGGAAUCGCUAGUAAUCGCGGAUCAGCACGCCGCGGUGAAUAAAAAGCCGGGUCUUGUUCACACCGCCCGUCA
RNAcentral lists this ribosomal RNA (1380 nucleotides) under uncultured bacterium. RNAcentral describes it as "partial 16S ribosomal RNA". It matches the Rfam family "Bacterial small subunit ribosomal RNA". The record is from RNAcentral.